GAGCAAGAUGGGUCACCAGCAGCUCUAUUGGAGCCACCCGAGAAAAUUCGGCCAGGGUUCUCUCUCUUGUCGCGUCUGCUCAAACCGGCACAGUCUGAUCCGGAAAUACGGCCUCAAUAUGUGCCGCCAGUGUUUCUGUCAGUGCACGAAGGACAUCGGUUUCAUUAAGUUGGACUAAGUGAUCUUCUUUGAAUGGAUUUUCCACGGCACCCACAAAGUGAAAGAGACCAUGCUAGUAGCUCUUUGUAUAUAAAAUAAAAUUUAAGAGA
This is a non-coding RNA of Microcebus murinus (gray mouse lemur), 269 nucleotides long. The record is from RefSeq and is a predicted model, not a curated record. Lineage: Eukaryota; Metazoa; Chordata; Mammalia; Primates; Cheirogaleidae.